Molecule: ribosomal RNA, 301 nt
Filed under: uncultured bacterium
Lineage: Bacteria
Description: partial 16S ribosomal RNA
Rfam family: Bacterial small subunit ribosomal RNA
Source: RNAcentral
CAGUCGCCGCGGGAAUACAUAGGUCCCGAGCGUUGUCCGGAUUUGUUGGGCGUAAAGCGAGCGCAGGCGGUUAGAUAAGUCUGAAGUUAAAGGCUGUGGCUUAACCAUAGUACGCUUUGGAAACUGUUUAACUUGAGUGCAAGAGGGGAGAGUGGAAUUCCAUGUGUAGCGGUGAAAUGCGUAGAUAUAUGGAGGAACACCGGUGGCGAAAGCGGCUCUCUGGUCUGUCACUGACGCUGAGGCUCGAAAGCGUGGGUAGCGAACAGGAUUAGAUACCCCCGUAGUCCCUGUCUCUUAUACA